UUCUCUGAUGUUAGCGGCGGACGGGUGAGUAACACGUGGAUAACCUACCUAUAAGACUGGGAUAACUUCGGGAAACCGGAGCUAAUACCGGAUAAUAUUUUGAACCGCAUGGUUCAAAAGUGAAAGACGGUCUUGCUGUCACUUAUAGAUGGAUCCGCGCUGCAUUAGCUAGUUGGUAAGGUAACGGCUUACCAAGGCAACGAUGCAUAGCCGACCUGAGAGGGUGAUCGGCCACACUGGAACUGAGACACGGUCCAGACUCCUACGGGAGGCAGCAGUAGGGAAUCUUCCGCAAUGGGCGAAAGCCUGACGGAGCAACGCCGCGUGAGUGAUGAAGGUCUUCGGAUCGUAAAACUCUGUUAUUAGGGAAGAACAUAUGUGUAAGUAACUGUGCACAUCUUGACGGUACCUAAUCAGAAAGCCACGGCUAACUACGUGCCAGCAGCCGCGGUAAUACGUAGGUGGCAAGCGUUAUCCGGAAUUAUUGGGCGUAAAGCGCGCGUAGGCGGUUUUUUAAGUCUGAUGUGAAAGCCCACGGCUCAACCGUGGAGGGUCAUUGGAAACUGGAAAACUUGAGUGCAGAAGAGGAAAGUGGAAUUCCAUGUGUAGCGGUGAAAUGCGCAGAGAUAUGGAGGAACACCAGUGGCGAAGGCGACUUUCUGGUCUGUAACUGACGCUGAUGUGCGAAAGCGUGGGGAUCAAACAGGAUUAGAUACCCUGGUAGUCCACGCCGUAAACGA
RNAcentral lists this ribosomal RNA (740 nucleotides) under Staphylococcus aureus. RNAcentral describes it as "bacterial SSU rRNA". It matches the Rfam family "Bacterial small subunit ribosomal RNA", at positions 82 to 809 of the family's 1533-position model. The record is from RNAcentral. Lineage: Bacteria; Bacillati; Bacillota; Bacilli; Caryophanales; Staphylococcaceae.